This 119-nucleotide ribosomal RNA is filed under the name Pteropus alecto (black flying fox). Lineage: Eukaryota; Metazoa; Chordata; Mammalia; Chiroptera; Pteropodidae. The record is from RNAcentral.
GUCUAUGGCCAUGCCACCCUGAACAAGCCCAAUCCUGUCUGAUCUUGGAAGCUAAGCAGGGUCAGGCCUGGUUAGUACUUGGAUGGGAGACCACCUAGGAAGACCAGGUGCUAUAGGCG